UUAUGUGUGAUUAUAUGUAACCGUUCUAUUGAAACUCGUUUUUUAGUAUUUUUUUGUUAUAUUAUUGGUGUUAUAUAUUAUAUUUAUACCAUUUGAUUUCAUGUCGCUAUAGAAAAACUAGAGCGAAGGCGUGUGCAACUAUCUAUCGGACCAGCCUAAAUUAUGUAUCGCGUUCGCUUUUCAUCAAUCCAUAACUAUCUAAGAAAAACGACCAUUGCAGAAACCUGUAAACACAAAUAACUAGAAACUGUAUUCUAAUAAUAGAAAAAAAGGGACCUAACAAACGCUAGCUGUUGGAGUGCACUAGAACGAGUUAAGAAGCCAGAGGUUCAUUAAAUCAUCUUUCCUGUAGUAUUUUGCUAUUAUAAGUUGUUCAGUUUGCUCUAAAUAUUUGCACGUAUUCGUUUCCAUAUAACAGGAAACUGUAAAAAGAGGCGAAGUUCUCAAAAUUUCAAUUUUCCGGAAUGGAAACAAAAGCUCUUUUCGAAAUGUGUGAAAACUAUUAGCUGAUUGGCAGCCUGUACUUGUAAGUAUUUUACAUCAUAAACGACCAUUAGGACGUCGCUUUCGCUAGCUCACUGGAUGGGCGGCCGCAGGUAGCCGGAAAAUAGCAAAGAACGAACAGUGGAAUCAAACAUCGAUAAAAUCGCUGGAUGAGUAAUAUGUUAUCGUGAGCACAGACAACACAGGAUAUCAGUAUUCACCUUAGGUUAUACAGGCCAACACGUCGCGCAGUUAGGCCACGUUCAAAAAAUCCACUUGACAAAGGAUCUACAAGAAAGUAAAAUGAUAUCAAGCCAGAGGCGAUUAAUGUUCUAUACGAUUGCAUCGUUACCCUUCUGCCGCCUAAAUGCACGGAAGUACUAGAUGUCAAGUUGGAAAAGUUCAAGAAAAACCGCCCACUCACCACCUAUGUUACCGAGCUUUGCAAAACAGCCCCUAAGCUUCUCAGCAAUGCGGUGUGAAAGGUACGCUUAGUAAAACGUAUAGUCCAACGCAUGUACGAACCUUUGAGCCACUACGCACGAUUCCGUUAUCCGAUUCUGUCUUCUUCCGCUCAUGGGGAGCCAUGAGUGAUUCGAGAUGUAUUACAGAAAUUGUCGUUACUCUCAAUAACAAUGAUGCUGUUGCGAUUACUGAUUUUAUUGUUUAUAAAAUUAGUUUCGUGCUUCUCCGAUUAUAUUUGGCUCGAUAAUGAGAUCACAGGAAGGCCUCACGGUAAAGCAAACUCUGAUAACGACAAUUCAUAUAACAUAGGAGAUCUCGAAGAAAAGCUGCUUAGUGAAUCGAAAUAUCAAAGUGUGCGAUUCAUAAUGCAGUCCAGAAGGUGAAGCAUAAUGUACCCCUGUCAUCAAUAAAAAUAGAAAAUUAAAAAAAAAACAGCAAAGAGAAAAUAUUCUGUUUUCAGAUGAAUCGCAUUUUAAUAUUUUCAGUAGUAACAUGCCCAUAGAUGUUCCCGCAAAAGAUUUAAAAGGUUGUGGUGUGAACCGUAAUUUCGAACCACGAUGCAGGAGCUCUAUAUUUGAAGUAAACAGAACUAUGGAAAAACGACAAUUCUGUUAAGUAAUUCAAACGAAAAUGCUGUCGCGGGUAUGAAAACCGUUCUUGGACAAGAACUUGGACAAGUUACCAUGCCAUAUGGCGAAAUAUGUCUCUGAAGUGUUUAUAACUAAUGGCAGCAAGGUUCUACGACCUGAAAACUAACCUGAUCUAUAAUCAAUCAAAGACGUGUGGCAUUAUGCCAAAGGGCGAAUCAACACCGAACACGAGCAUUACUCUAUUCGAGGAUACAGUGCUCCAAUUAGAGGCUUACGGCCCGGGUGCGACAAGAGUAAUGUGAAAGUGCAUUCUGAACAAAUCAAAGCAGCAGUUGCUGAAAUCAGGUUGCAGUCAAGGGUAGGGGAAUCCAAUACUAGCGCUCACGACAUUUACGUGGCAGUUUAAAACGCUUUUCUAGCGAGAGUGUCUCAUAUGUGUUACCAUUAGGAAAAAGAACGACGCACUUCACAUAAAAACACUGCACGCAGAUAUUUAGUUCGGAUGCAGAGGUAUCUUCGAUCGAACUCGAUAACUUGUGAAACUUUUACUUGGUCUUAUUCAAUUUCCCAUUUAUAUAUAUAUAUUGGCUGCCUGCAGAGAAUAUAUUUAGUCUUCGACCAACGGGGCGCCGUCCCGACUAAGCCUAUGCAAGCAACCGAGGCCACAAUCCUGAUAAUUGCUCAACUAACCAAGGAUCAAAAGGUAGCCGUUAGAUCGACGAGCCCAUGAUCAUAGUUGGAGGCGGACCUCCGGAACAGUCUUUAGUGCCGGCAGAGGCGCCAGGUCGUGGUUAAAGUGGUCGCCGGCGCUAAAAGUCAUAGACGGUAAAAUGGGCUCGGUCGCAAAGCACUAGUGUCAAUGGAAAGAAGCUUGGCAAGAGAGGCCAAAAAUGUACCGUAAAGAGAAUAGAAGUGUGCCGUGCGGGAGCAAGCGGCCACAUAUUAUACGAAACCAUUAAAUACCGAUCCUUACGAAAACAAGGGCAAAAGGGUCGUUGUAGAACUGGGGACAGCUUUCUAGAAAAGACGCUGUGUAGCGCAUAUACGCAACCGAGAUACAUGAACGCUACUUGGACGCAGUAGGGCUAGUAGCAAUAAUUGAAUGUUACGAUUAGAAUGUAAGCAAAAAAUAGUUGCAGUGUGGAUGCACUUAGGGUGCAAAAAACAUUGCUGCUAGCUGAAGUCUGUCUCCGACCAGAGGCCUAGAGUUAUGCCGGAAGUAAAUAAUAUGGACUAACGCUUAACGUCGGACCUAUAAUAAUGUAUGUAGAUUUUACGCUAGCCGUGCCUGAACUAGAAGUUAUACAUACUGACUAUAAAAUUAGAGCAUUAAGGGCGGUAAGAAGAGCACCUUAUAUGUGUUAAAAAAGUGUAUUUUAUUGCCUUUAGUAGUCUUGGUCUAUAGUGGCAUUUGUUAUGUCUAGAGCAUUUUACGCUUGUUAUUUGCGUGGCGUAUACGAAAAAUCUAUAACUUACUCAACAGGUUAAUACUUUUACAGUAUCUGUAAAAUCUACAUUGGGUUGCAGUCUUGGCAUUUCCGCAGGGGACUUCCUGGUGGUCCAAAUUGCCAAACGCAUUUAAUUGACCCUAAACAUGAAUUACUACUGAACAUAUUUGUUGUCGAUAAUCACUUUUAACACAUCUCAACAUUAUAUGCGCUUUUCAGUUCCUAUUGAUUACGAAUUUAGUGCAGGUAAGUUAAAAAAUCACGACCAGCAAUUAUGAAAAAAGUCAAAACUGUGUUAUCUUUGCUCUUCAAAGAGAGUAGUAGGUACUUCAAAUUUGGUAUUUACCCUCACUUCUAUUUUUUAUUCAGAACUAAACACAAAAUGGGCAUUUUUUUUACAUUCUCGACGUGAAAACCUAUAUGUGUUACUGGCUGGCUAAAAAUUUGUAACCUGUUUUACAUUUCCUACUACCUAUUUGAAUUUUUCUAAGAUCUUUGAUUUUUCAACACUUUAAGGGUAAGCAAUAGUUUUUUAUUCGCCUAUUAUUAUUAUUAAUUCUUUUUCGUUUACUUAAAGAAAAAUGCAAUGUGAAAAAAAAGUAUUGCACUUUCUAUAUUGCAACCCAAUCAUUCAUAGAAAAAUUGGAUUAAACGAGAGAUAGGAGAUAAUAUCUAAUUUAAGACGCGUUUCUUUGUCUGGACGUCCAUAUUCUUACAGAAGGAGUUUCAAGCACAAACAAUGGUUGUGCUGGAAGUAUGCUGGAAUGCUACAGCAUAUUGGAUACCAUAUGAGCCUAAAACGAGGUAUCAAGAUAUCCAGUUGUUCCACUGACGGAACCGAAACAGACAGUACCUUACCUUGCUUGAUGUCUUAUAAUUUCGUAUGAUAACGAUGCCUCUUAGAUCAAGUAAUAUAGAACUGCGCAGAAUUGUGAAAGUAACCAUCAGUCUACCAAUUUUCCAAAACGAGAAACCACGGGUUUAUUCAGAGAGACUGAGAUGAAGGUCGCACCUCACUACUAUUAAGAAAUUGUAAGCGUGAAAAAUGGAACAUUUCAUCACGGUUUCUCUGAACAAGCGGCGUACUAUUAUUAUACCAGUAAAUGGCUAAAUCAGAUAUACCAAAACCGUAAAAACGUGAAAUAAUUUCCCAUUUUUAAAAUCUAAUCUCUAAAGAGAAAGGUCACUGUUACAACUCUGCUUUGACGCAAAUGAAGUCAAUUGAGCCUUUGUCUGGGCUCCAGUAUACAAGAUGAAUCGUAAGACGAAAAUAAAUUCAUAUAGUGCUGCUUUUGAGCUUUC
Non-coding RNA from Varroa destructor (honeybee mite), 4288 nucleotides. Lineage: Eukaryota; Metazoa; Arthropoda; Arachnida; Mesostigmata; Varroidae. The record is from RefSeq and is a predicted model, not a curated record.